CGGAUGUGCAGGGGGCUGUGUAGGUCCUCCUGUGAAACUCUUAUAUACUGGAGAGCAUCCCGCAGCACAAAAUUCCUGCGAACCUCCAGUGUCAGUGGAUCUUCAUCUGUCUGUCUGAUGCAUGUCCUCGCUUGCUCGCGCAGCAUCUGCGUACCUCAGUGUCUCCAUAUUCGUCUUCUGGUUGAGAAACAUCCCUUAAAUGAAAGGAAAAAAUAAAACACAGCAAAAUACCUUAUAAGGCUGUGUGGACUGCACAUGGAGGUCGCGAAGCCCCUUUCCUACCAACAGGCUCCUGUCAACAGUAGAUUAUUGUAAAAACAACAUGCCAUCGAUUUGUUAGUUGUCACCAAAGCAAUAAUGAAAUCUGCGAUUGUCUCCAUCAAUAUCCUUGUACUGAAGACAAGCGACCGAAAACUAACGGGUUACGGACAUAAGCCGUCUGGGACAUUAGCCCCUUCAAAAGUGUGCACUAGGACGUUAGCCCCCAGGUGUUUUUAAACGUUCAUAACUUAUUUUAAAGGAAGUAUUUUUAUUCCAUUUUCAUUUCAUAUGUAAAUACAUACAAUUAUUAUAAAAUGUUGAAGUCUUAUAUAUAUUUUUUCCAAUAUAUAGCUUGU
Dreissena polymorpha is the source of this 617-nucleotide long non-coding RNA. RefSeq lists it as uncharacterized. The record is from RefSeq and is a predicted model, not a curated record. The transcript has 4 exons. Lineage: Eukaryota; Metazoa; Mollusca; Bivalvia; Myida; Dreissenidae.